GACGAACGCUGGCGGCGUGCUUAACACAUGCAAGUCGAACGGAAAGGCCCUGCUUUUGUGGGGUGCUCGAGUGGCGAACGGGUGAGUAACACGUGAGUAACCUGCCCUUGACUUUGGGAUAACUUCAGGAAACUGGGGCUAAUACCGGAUAGGAGCUCCUGCUGCAUGGUGGGGGUUGGAAAGUUUCGGCGGUUGGGGAUGGACUCGCGGCUUAUCAGCUUGUUGGUGGGGUAGUGGCUUACCAAGGCUUUGACGGGUAGCCGGCCUGAGAGGGUGACCGGCCACAUUGGGACUGAGAUACGGCCCAGACUCCUACGGGAGGCAGCAGUGGGGAAUAUUGCACAAUGGGCGGAAGCCUGAUGCAGCAACGCCGCGUGCGGGAUGACGGCCUUCGGGUUGUAAACCGCUUUCGCCUGUGACGAAGCGUGAGUGACGGUAAUGGGUAAAGAAGCACCGGCUAACUACGUGCCAGCAGCCGCGGGGAUACGUAGGGUGCGAGCGUUGUCCGGAUUUAUUGGGCGUAAAGGGCUCGUAGGUGGUUGAUCGCGUCGGAAGUGUAAUCUUGGGGCUUAACCCUGAGCGUGCUUUCGAUACGGGUUGACUUGAGGAAGGUAGGGGAGAAUGGAAUUCCUGGUGGAGCGGUGGAAUGCGCAGAUAUCAGGAGGAACACCAGUGGCGAAGGCGGUUCUCUGGGCCUUUCCUGACGCUGAGGAGCGAAAGCGUGGGGAGCGAACAGGCUUAGAUACCCUGGUAGUCCACGCUGUAAACGGUGGGUACUAGGUGUGGGGUCCAUUCCACGGGUUCCGUGCCGUAGCUAACGCUUUAAGUACCCCGCCUGGGGAGUACGGCCGCAAGGCUAAAACUCAAAGGAAUUGACGGGGCCCCGCACAAGCGGCGGAGCAUGCGGAUUAAUUCGAUGCAACGCGUAGAACCUUACCUGGGUUUGACAUGGAUCGGGAGUGCUCAGAGAUGGGUGUGCCUCUUUUGGGGUCGGUUCACAGGUGGUGCAUGGCUGUCGUCAGCUCGUGUCGUGAGAUGUUGGGUUAAGUCCCGCAACGAGCGCAACCCUUGUUCACUGUUGCCAGCACGUUAUGGUGGGGACUCAGUGGAGACCGCCGGGGUCAACUCGGAGGAAGGUGGGGAUGACGUCAAGUCAUCAUGCUCCUUAUGUCCAGGGCUUCACGCAUGCUACAAUGGCUGGUACAGAGAGUGGCGAGCCUGUGAGGGUGAGCGAAUCUCGGAAAGCCGGUCUCAGUUCGGAUUGGGGUCUGCAACUCGACCUCAUGAAGUCGGAGUCGCUAGUAAUCGCAGAUCAGCAACGCUGCGGUGAAUACGUUCCCGGGGCU
This 1346-nucleotide ribosomal RNA is filed under the name uncultured bacterium. RNAcentral describes it as "partial 16S ribosomal RNA". It matches the Rfam family "Bacterial small subunit ribosomal RNA", at positions 28 to 1381 of the family's 1533-position model. The record is from RNAcentral.